This is a long non-coding RNA of Ruditapes philippinarum (Manila clam), 671 nucleotides long. RefSeq lists it as uncharacterized. The transcript has 3 exons. The record is from RefSeq and is a predicted model, not a curated record. Lineage: Eukaryota; Metazoa; Mollusca; Bivalvia; Venerida; Veneridae.
GAGCAGACUUGUACUAAUACUGAUGGAUCGUUUAAAUGUAGCUGCUCCAAUUGAUAUGAAUUAAAUCGCGAUGGUCACUCAUGUGAUGAUAUUGAUGAAUGCAGUCACGAUCAAUCUCUCUGUCAUGGUGGAAACGAAACGUGUGUAAACACCCCUGGGAACUAUAGUUGUGAAUGUGUCCAAGGAUAUUAUCGAUCUGGUGGAAUCUGUGAAAAAACAAGUUUGAGGUCGACAUCGUCAAACAUAUAUUGUUCCUGCCUACAAGUUUUAUCCUUAUUGACUUUAAUAUUAAUACAAAUGAUAAUGACUUAAUCGUUUUCUGAGGUUAUUCAUUAUGUAAUUUCACAUACUGAAUGGAACUUUAAUAAAAAGCAUGUACUUCUUAUUUACUUUUUAAUAAUGUUUGCUUUAAAACAAUGUUAUAUGACUUUUGAGGAAUAAAUACAUUUGGUUAUCCUAUUGUCAUUUAAAGAGUAUUCUAAUUAUCACUAAUUACUCAAAUUGAUGUCUCUUUACAUAAAAUAAUAAUGUCAGUUGACACGAAAUAUAAGAAGUAAAAAUACACAAAAUGAAAUAACACAUUUUGGCAAAUUAUUUUUACGAAUUAAAAAAUAUUUUGUCAACAAAAAAGGUGAUAGCAUUAUAUACAAUGGCUCAUACUAACUCAGUUU